GGAUUCUUGGAAGGACUCAGAAUCUCCUUGCAAGUUCUAUGGAAUUACAUGUGAUAAAAAUACUGGUCUUGUUAUCGAAAUUUCGCUUGAUAAUAAAUCGCUUUCCGGGGUGAUAUCACCUUCAAUCUUUUCACUCAAAAGUCUCACUUCUCUUGUGUUACCUUCAAAUGCACUAUCAGGGAAACUUCCUAGUGAAGUUACCAACUGCACCAGUCUCAGAGUCUUGAAUGUCACAGUAAAUAACAUGAACGG
Molecule: unclassified non-coding RNA, 252 nt
Filed under: Hevea brasiliensis (rubber tree)
Lineage: Eukaryota; Viridiplantae; Streptophyta; Magnoliopsida; Malpighiales; Euphorbiaceae
Source: RNAcentral